UACGUAGGGUGCGAGCGUUAAUCGGAAUUACUGGGCGUAAAGCGUGCGCAGGCGGUUCGUUGUGUCUGUGGUGAAAGCCCCGGGCUUAACCUGGGAAUGGCCAUGGAAACUGGCGAGCUGGAGUGUGGCAGAGGGGGGUGGAAUUCCGCGUGUAGCAGUGAAAUGCGUAGAUAUGCGGAGGAACACCGAUGGCGAAGGCAAUCCCCUGGACCUGUACUGACGCUCAUGCACGAAAGCGUGGGGAGCAAACAGG
RNAcentral lists this ribosomal RNA (253 nucleotides) under uncultured bacterium. RNAcentral's name for it is "partial 16S ribosomal RNA". It matches the Rfam family "Bacterial small subunit ribosomal RNA", at positions 524 to 776 of the family's 1533-position model. The record is from RNAcentral.